UGCCGCAGGUUUAUAACAAUUCUACUCAGUUGAUCAUUUCAUUUAUCUUUCAUUAAUCCACUCAAUCCACAUCUCAAUCCACAUCUCAAUCCGUGUUUUAAUUUAUGUUCUAAUCUGUAUCUCAAUUUGCAUCCCAAUCCACUGCCUGUAUACAUAUUUCAUAAAAAAGAGGUUUUUAUAGAGGACAAGUGGAGUGGAAGAAUAUUAGAGAUUAUAUGAAGGAAUUAUUAAAGACUAUAUAUAUAUGAAGUGGAAUUAUGAGGGUUAUAUAGAGGAAUUGGUAGAACUAUAUAAAUGUGAAGUGGGAUUAUAUUUGUGUGUAAAUAUGCAAG
This 332-nucleotide small RNA is filed under the name Histoplasma capsulatum var. duboisii H88. RNAcentral's name for it is "Histoplasma capsulatum H88 hypothetical RNA". The record is from RNAcentral. Lineage: Eukaryota; Fungi; Ascomycota; Eurotiomycetes; Onygenales; Ajellomycetaceae.